GUAGGUGAACCUGCGGAAGGAUCAUUAACACGAAUUAUUUUAUUAUCCAAUAUCAAAAACCAAACGUGAACCUUUUUUCUCCCUAUAUAUUCCAUAUAUAUUAUAUGUAUUUAUUUAAAUAUAUAUCUCUAUGUGCUAUAUAUAGGCUAACCUCAUCUAUAUAAAUUUUAACACUAUAAACUUCAACUAGUUUUAAUUUAGCUAUUAAAACAUCUAAACUAAAAAAGACAAGGUUAUUCGAAAGAGUAAACUUUAACUUUUUUCGAUUUACGAAAAAUUUAAAAGAACAACUCUUAACAAUGGAUAUCUUGGUUCUC
Molecule: unclassified non-coding RNA, 317 nt
Filed under: rhizosphere metagenome
Description: partial ribosomal RNA internal transcribed spacer region
Source: RNAcentral